UGCCCUAUAGCUCAAGCAGGCAGAGCAAGCGGCUGUUAAUCGCGAGGUUGUAGGGUUCUCCCUUCGGGAGACGCUGCGCGAACGAUUCCUACUGGGGCAG
This 100-nucleotide transfer RNA is filed under the name Richelia sp. SM2_1_7. RNAcentral's name for it is "tRNA-Asn". It matches the Rfam family "tRNA". Rfam says of the family: Transfer RNA (tRNA) molecules are approximately 80 nucleotides in length. Their secondary structure includes four short double-helical elements and three loops (D, anti-codon, and T loops). Lineage: Bacteria; Bacillati; Cyanobacteriota; Cyanophyceae; Nostocales; Nostocaceae. The record is from RNAcentral.